UACAGAGGGUGCAAACGUUGCUCGGAAUCAUUGGGCGUAAAGCGCACGUAGGCGGCUCAGCAAGCGGGGAGUGAAAGCCCUCGGCUUAACCGAGGAAGUGCUUUCCGAACUACUGAGCUUGAAUACCGGAGAGGAUCGCGGAAUUCCCGGUGUAGAGGUGAAAUUCGUGGAUAUCGGGAGGAACACCAGUGGCGAAGGCGGCGAUCUGGACGGAUAUUGACGCUGAGGUGCGAAAGCGUGGGGAGCAAACAGG
Molecule: ribosomal RNA, 253 nt
Filed under: uncultured bacterium
Lineage: Bacteria
Description: partial 16S ribosomal RNA
Rfam family: Bacterial small subunit ribosomal RNA
Source: RNAcentral